AGUGAACGCUGGCGGUAGGCCUAACACAUGCAAGUCGGACGGCAGCACAGUAAGAGCUUGCUCUUACGGGUGGCGAGUGGCGGACGGGUGAGGAAUACAUCGGAAUCUACUUUUUCGUGGGGGAUAACGUAGGGAAACUUACGCUAAUACCGCAUACGACCUACGGGUGAAAGCAGGGGAUCUUCGGACCUUGCGCGAUUGAAUGAGCCGAUGUCGGAUUAGCUAGUUGGCGGGGUAAAGGCCCACCAAGGCGACGAUCCGUAGCUGGUCUGAGAGGAUGAUCAGCCACACUGGAACUGAGACACGGUCCAGACUCCUACGGGAGGCAGCAGUGGGGAAUAUUGGACAAUGGGCGCAAGCCUGAUCCAGCCAUACCGCGUGGGUGAAGAAGGCCUUCGGGUUGUAAAGCCCUUUUGUUGGGAAACAAAAGCAGCAGGUUAAUACCCCGCUGUUCUGACGGUACCCAAAGAAUAAGCACCGGCUAACUUCGUG
RNAcentral lists this ribosomal RNA (492 nucleotides) under uncultured bacterium. RNAcentral describes it as "partial 16S ribosomal RNA". It matches the Rfam family "Bacterial small subunit ribosomal RNA", at positions 29 to 507 of the family's 1533-position model. The record is from RNAcentral.